Molecule: ribosomal RNA, 483 nt
Filed under: uncultured bacterium
Lineage: Bacteria
Description: bacterial SSU rRNA
Rfam family: Bacterial small subunit ribosomal RNA
Source: RNAcentral
AUGAACGCUAGCUACAGGCUUAACACAUGCAAGUCGAGGGCAGCGCAGUGUAGCAAUACAUGGGCGGCGACCGGCGCACGGGUGCGUAACAGGGUGUGCAAUCUGUCCUAUACCAGAGCAUAGCCCAGCGAAAGUUUGGAUUAAAUUCUCUAUGUGAGCCGAGAGGGCAUCCUUUUGGUUUGAAACGCGAGGGUAUAGGGUGAGCACGCUUCUGAUUAGCUAGUUGGUGAGGUAACGGCUCACCAAGGCGACGAUCAGUAGGGGUUCUGAGAGGAAGGUCCCCCACACUGGAACUGAGACACGGUCCAGACUCCUACGGGAGGCAGCAGUGAGGAAUAUUGGUCAAUGGUCUGACGACUGAACCAGCCAUGCCGCGUGAAGGUGACGGCCCUAUGGGUCUUAAACUUCUUUUGUAAGGGAGCAAUAAGGGCUACGUGUAGUCCGAUGAGAGUACCUUACGAAUAAGCAUCGGCUAACUCCGUG